RNAcentral lists this ribosomal RNA (301 nucleotides) under uncultured bacterium. RNAcentral's name for it is "partial 16S ribosomal RNA". It matches the Rfam family "Bacterial small subunit ribosomal RNA", at positions 509 to 807 of the family's 1533-position model. The record is from RNAcentral.
CAGUAGCCGCGGUAAUACGUAGGGUGCGAGCGUUAAUCGGAAUUACUGGGCGUAAAGCGUGCGCAGGCGGUUAUAUAAGACAGAUGUGAAAUCCCCGGGCUCAACCUGGGACCUGCAUUUGUGACUGUAUAGCUAGAGUACGGUAGAGGGGGAUGGAAUUCCGCGUGUAGCAGUGAAAUGCGUAGAGAUGUGGAGGAACACCGAUGGCGAAGGCAGCCCCCUGGGCCAAUACUGACGCUCAUGCACGAAAGCGUGGGGAGCAAACAGGAUUAGAUACCCCCGUAGUCCCUGUCUCUUAUAC